UAUAAGGGUUUUUCAAAAUCAACAAAAAUAUAGAAAGCACAUCUCUAAUGUGUUCUAAACUAGACUUUUAAGAAGAUUUCCCCUUGUGGUGGUUUUAUAUGUGUGUGUGUGUGUGUGUGUGUGUGUGUGUGUGUGUGUGUGUGUGUGUGUGUGUGUGUGUGUGUGUGUGUGUGUGUGUGUGUGUGUAAAAAUCAGUAAGAGUGUUUGUGUAAUCCCUAAGGAGUUUUCUGAUAAGAACAGAGUUUUUAAUCCAGCGUUCAUCCAGCUGUUGGACAAAAUAUCUGUCACCACAGCCACUUGGUAAUCCUUCACUGCUCAUACUCUUCCAUCGAUCAAAUUCAGCACAUUUAAACAUCAUAAACAAAUACAUCUAUCCUGGUCCAUCCCCACACCUCCCCGAUCCAUCACCUCUCAGACACUUUCACUACAGCUAUAGAAAUGAGCUGGAUAAUUAGACUUUUAAUUAUUGAAUUAAUGAUUCACAACUGAUAUUUAUGAGCUAAUCACAAAGGUUUGCACUUGAAUCGUUGCAUCAGCAGCCUCAAUACGGGGCGAUGCCACUUGCCGCAAUGAUAUAAUGAAUUCCUCCCCUCUAAAAAUCAAUAUGGAGAUUCGUUUUUGUUCCUAGUGGGGCUGAGCGGAUGAUAGAUCCAGAAAGGUCCAUCAAAAAGAGAGUGUAUGAGAGCUAUUUUGUAGCCUCUUUAUCCACAAAAGUAAUAAGAAUAAUAGCACCCAUUGUUUGAUUGGCUCUUUUGUUUAAUUGACAGAAAGAUAUGGUAAUGGCCUUACAACGGCAAGGAACCUGUGGUUUUGUAAGUUUAUAUGUAAGUUAAUCAAUUCCUUUUUGUCUUUUGAGUAAGUGUGUGUACCUAAUAACAGUGUAAUGGCAGUAUAAUAACAUCCUUUCGAAGCUUAAUGAGGGACUGGGUCAGUGGGGCUUGGGGGACCACGGAAGACAUGUUUGGUGUCACAUCAUAAGUGAACGCCUAGGGAAACGAUUAAAGUAAAGCAGCGGACACUGCUGAAAAUCUUACUGCAGCGGUAGGGAUGCUGGUGGGCCUUGAGCGAGAAUUUUUGAAGCUUGAUAUUCAGCUGGUGAAUGUAGGUCAAGAGAUUAAUCUCCAUUUAGCCACCUUGAGCUGUUUUUCCACACUUUAAGACUGAACAAAACACUCUCUGGGAUAUGUCCCUCUCCUCUUGCUUGAAAUCGCACCAACGUAGAUAUGCACAUACAGAUUUACCGGAUAUGAUUGUAAACCAGUCAUAUGAUUUUUACUGGAAAGUCUGUGACAUUUAGAUAUAAUAUUUGUAAGGAUAAUAGGUGUUUUUAGGGAAUCUGUACAGCACAAUCUCUGUAAUCCAUUUCCCGGAAGAAUUACUCUCGAUGAGCUUACAAUGAAUUGUUCAAGGCCCAUUCACACUAAUAACUAUAACAAUAAAUGUUUUUGCAUCCACCAAUGCACAAUGACAUUCUGUUAUUAUCAGUAUGCAUUGCAGUUUUGUUGUGUACCACCUUAAAGUGCUUAAGUUCUUUAAAUUCAGGUGGAUUCUGAUUGGCUGUUUAAUACUUGUAUGUGUUUGAAAGUGAUUCCAAUAUAGUUAUGGUGCUGGCUCUGCUAUUCUUUUGAAUUGACAACAAUUUUUUUGAAAAUGUUAUUGUUACUGUUACCAUGUAAAUCAGUGUAAUUACUCACAACUUUCAAGGAUUGAAAGCUGCAGUGAAAAAUUAUGUAUCGUUGAACAUUUAAAUUAUAUGUAAUUUGACUGCCAAACAAUGAUACAUCUGUUUUGAAAGUAAAAACUAUGAAUUACCAUAUAAUUUAAGGUGUAUAUAGAUAGAUAGAUAGAUCUUUUUUUUUUCAUGUUUGUCACACUUUAAUGUUUCAGAUCAUCAAACAAAUUUAAAUAUUAGUCAAAGAUAACACAAGUAAACACAACAUGCAGUGCAAUGCAACAUGCUAUAAAGCCAUUUCUAAAGCUUUGGGUCUCCAGCGAACCACAGUGAGAGACAUUAUUCACAAAUGG
Molecule: long non-coding RNA, 2025 nt
Organism: Cyprinus carpio carpio
Lineage: Eukaryota; Metazoa; Chordata; Actinopteri; Cypriniformes; Cyprinidae
Source: Ensembl